RNAcentral lists this non-coding RNA (217 nucleotides) under Lysinibacillus macroides. Its description in RNAcentral is "T-box sequence". It matches the Rfam family "T-box leader". Rfam says of the family: Uncharged tRNA acts as the effector for transcription antitermination of genes in the T-box leader family. T-boxes are found upstream of many aminoacyl-tRNA synthetase genes and some amino acid biosynthetic genes usually in Gram-positive bacteria. The anticodon of a specific tRNA base pairs to a specifier sequence within the T-box motif, and the NCCA acceptor tail of the tRNA base pairs to a conserved bulge in the T-box antiterminator hairpin. The record is from RNAcentral. Lineage: Bacteria; Bacillati; Bacillota; Bacilli; Caryophanales; Bacillaceae.
GGAAAAACGCUGACGAAGAGUAGUACAUAUGCUAAAACGUGUAGAGAGUCUGUGGUUGCUGCAAACAGAUCGUGGAGGUAUAUGGAAUGGACUUCUGAGUUAGCUUUGUGAACGUGUUCAACUAUUAGCAAAGCUCGUCCCUUCACGUUACGAAGCAGAGUGGCCGAUUUCGGCAAGCUGGGUGGUACCGCGGAUUCAAACAUCAUUCGUCCCUUCA